Molecule: ribosomal RNA, 253 nt
Filed under: uncultured bacterium
Lineage: Bacteria
Description: partial 16S ribosomal RNA
Rfam family: Bacterial small subunit ribosomal RNA
Source: RNAcentral
UACGUAGGGUGCAAGCGUUAAUCGGAAUUACUGGGCGUAAAGCGUGCGCAGGCGGUUGUGCAAGACAGAUGUGAAAUCCCCGGGCUUAACCUGGGAACUGCAUUUGUGACUGCACGGCUAGAGUGUGUCAGAGGGGGGUAGAAUUCCACGUGUAGCAGUGAAAUGCGUAGAUAUGCGGAGGAACACCGAUGGCGAAGGCAAUCCCCUGGACCUGUACUGACGCUCAUGCACGAAAGCGUGGGGAGCAAACAGG